GAUGAAGAACGUAGUGAAAUGCGAUAAGUAAUGUGAAUUGCAGAAUUCAGUGAAUCAUCGAAUCUUUGAACGCACAUUGCGCCCGCUAGUAUUCUGGCGGGCAUGCCUGUCCGAGCGUCAUUUCAACCCUCAAGCCCCCGGGCUUGGUGUUGGGGAUCGGCGAGCCUCCGCGCCCGCCGUCCCCUAAAUCUAGUGGCGGUCUCGCUGUAGCUUCCUGUGCGUAGUAGCACACCUCGCACUGGGAAACAGCGCGGCCACGCCGUUAAACCCCCAACUUCUGAACGUUUGACCUCGGAUCAGGUAGGAAUACCCGCUGAACUUAAGCAUAUCAAUAAGCGGAGGA
This 343-nucleotide unclassified non-coding RNA is filed under the name soil metagenome. RNAcentral describes it as "partial contains 5.8S ribosomal RNA, internal transcribed spacer 2, and large subunit ribosomal RNA". The stretch from base 1 to 120 matches the Rfam family "5.8S ribosomal RNA", at positions 35 to 154 of the family's 154-position model. The record is from RNAcentral.